This is a long non-coding RNA of Ruditapes philippinarum (Manila clam), 662 nucleotides long. RefSeq lists it as uncharacterized. NCBI's taxonomy places the organism in Eukaryota, Metazoa, Mollusca, Bivalvia, Venerida, Veneridae. The record is from RefSeq and is a predicted model, not a curated record. The transcript has 3 exons.
UCAGCACGUCACCCUAAGGUAAAUUAUCUGCCACUGUUGGCAAAAUAAUCAGAGCGUCACUGUUUAUUUUGUCUAAAUAUAGAUUUAUUAUACAUGUGCAUACACUCUCUCCUUGACAGGUAUUUUAUUUGCCGGUAGUUAUUAAGAUAUCAGAACGAGAUUAUUAUACUUGCUUAACACUCACCACGUAUGAUAUUUUACUUAAAACCGUGUGUUUAAUGGUGGAUUUAAAUCAAAUUUUAUACCGAAGUCCUGUUAAAAUAGGACACAAGGUUUUGACAUGCCUCCGACGACAAGAGAUCGAAAACCCUUAGCAUCAUUAUCCAUAAGAAGACACAGUUGUUAUUUAUUAUCAUUGUUGAAUACAAGGGGAUUACUUUUAUGUGAACAGUAGCUAUAUUGAUUUUUCAUAUGUGAGAAGAGGUGAAGAGAUAAAGGCUUUUAUAUAAGAAGAUUUAUCAGAUAUUAAGAUUCAUACUUGUGUGCAAAAUGGUAUAUUUUCUUACUUGACUUAUGAAAAUUCAGAACAUUCCCAUAAGGCCUUAUACGAGUAGUGUUUACAGAGAAGUACAUUUUUAAAAUGUGAAAGCAGGAGAUAUUGAUUUCUACAUGUAAAUAGUUUAGGUUAACAUGCGAAUACAUGUAAAGCGAUCAACAGUUUA